RNAcentral lists this ribosomal RNA (253 nucleotides) under uncultured bacterium. RNAcentral describes it as "partial 16S ribosomal RNA". It matches the Rfam family "Bacterial small subunit ribosomal RNA", at positions 524 to 776 of the family's 1533-position model. The record is from RNAcentral.
CACGUAGGGCGCAAGCGUUGUCCGGAAUUAUUGGGCGUAAAGAGCUCGUAGGCGGUCUGUUACGUCUGCUGUGAAAACCCGGGGCUUAACCCUGGGCUUGCAGUGGAUACGGGCAGACUAGAGGCAGGUAGGGGAGAAUGGAAUUCCCGGUGUAGCGGUGAAAUGCGCAGAUAUCGGGAGGAACACCGGUGGCGAAGGCGACUCUUUGGCCUGUAACUGACGCUGAGGCGCGAAAGCGUGGGGAGCAAACAGG